GACGAACGCUGGCGGCGUGCCUAAUACAUGCAAGUCGAGCGCAGGAAAUCGACGGAACCCUUCGGGGGGAAGUCGACGGAAUGAGCGGCGGACGGGUGAGUAACACGUAAGAACCUGCCCUCAGGUCUGGGAUAACCACGAGAAAUCGGGGCUAAUACCGGAUGGGUCAUCGGACCGCAUGGUCCGAGGAUGAAAGGCGCUUCGGCGUCGCCUGGGGAUGGCUUUGCGGUGCAUUAGCUAGUUGGUGGGGUAAUGGCCCACCAAGGCGACGAUGCAUAGCCGACCUGAGAGGGUGAUCGGCCACACUGGGACUGAAACACGGCCCAGACUCCUACGGGAGGCAGCAGUAGGGAAUCUUCCACAAUGGACGAAAGUCUGAUGGAGCAACGCCGCGUGAACGAUGAAGGCCUUCGGGUCGUAAAGUUCUGUUGUAAGGGAAGAACAAGUGCCGCAGGCAAUGGCGGCACCUUGACGGUACCUUGCGAGAAAGCCACGGCUAACUACGUGCCAGCCGCCGCAGUAA
This 523-nucleotide ribosomal RNA is filed under the name uncultured bacterium. RNAcentral's name for it is "partial 16S ribosomal RNA". It matches the Rfam family "Bacterial small subunit ribosomal RNA", at positions 28 to 523 of the family's 1533-position model. The record is from RNAcentral.